CACUAGCCCCGAUUGUAGCAAUUGUUUGAGCUCGUUGUAAAGCUUGGAAAAGCCGAGGCUACAACAGCGAGUGCGGAAAGCGGGAAUAGCU
This 91-nucleotide unclassified non-coding RNA is filed under the name Soonwooa buanensis. Its description in RNAcentral is "Flavo-1 RNA". The record is from RNAcentral. Lineage: Bacteria; Pseudomonadati; Bacteroidota; Flavobacteriia; Flavobacteriales; Weeksellaceae.